UGCGAAUGCUGACAUAAGUAACGAUAAAGCGGGUGAAAAGCCCGCUCGCCGGAAGACCAAGGGUUCCUGUCCAACGUUAAUCGGGGCAGGGUGAGUCGACCCCUAAGGCGAGGCCGAAAGGCGUAGUCGAUGGGAAACAGGUUAAUAUUCCUGUACUUGGUGUUACUGCGAAGGGGGGACGGAGAAGGCUAUGUUGGCCGGGCGACGGUUGUCCCGGUUUAAGCGUGUAGGCUGGUUUUCCAGGCAAAUCCGGAAAAUCAAGGCUGAGGCGUGAUGACGAGGCACUACGGUGCUGAAGCAACAAAUGCCCUGCUUCCAGGAAAAGCCUCUAAGCAUCAGGUAACAUCAAAUCGUACCCCAAACCGACACAGGUGGUCAGGUAGAGAAUACCAAGGCGCUUGAGAGAACUCGGGUGAAGGAACUAGGCAAAAUGGUGCCGUAACUUCGGGAGAAGGCACGCUGAUAUGUAGGUGAAGUCCCUCGCGGAUGGAGCUGAAAUCAGUCGAAGAUACCAGCUGGCUGCAACUGUUUAUUAAAAACACAGCACUGUGCAAACACGAAAGUGGACGUAUACGGUGUGACGCCUGCCCGGUGCCGGAAGGUUAAUUGAUGGGGUUAGCGCAAGCGAAGCUCUUGAUCGAAGCCCCGGUAAACGGCGGCCGUAACUAUAACGGUCCUAAGGUAGCGAAAUUCCUUGUCGGGUAAGUUCCGACCUGCACGAAUGGCGUAAUGAUGGCCAGGCUGUCUCCACCCGAGACUCAGUGAAAUUGAACUCGCUGUGAAGAUGCAGUGUACCCGCGGCAAGACGGAAAGACCCCGUGAACCUUUACUAUAGCUUGACACUGAACAUUGAGCCUUGAUGUGUAGGAUAGGUGGGAGGCUUUGAAGUGUGGACGCCAGUCUGCAUGGAGCCGACCUUGAAAUACCACCCUUUAAUGUUUGAUGUUCUAACGUUGACCCGUNNNNNNNNNNNNNNNNNNNNNNNNNNNNNNNNAUCCGGGUUGCGGACAGUGUCUGGUGGGUAGUUUGACUGGGGCGGUCUCCUCCUAAAGAGUAACGGAGGAGCACGAAGGUUGGCUAAUCCUGGUCGGACAUCAGGAGGUUAGUGCAAUGGCAUAAGCCAGCUUGACUGCGAGCGUGACGGCGCGAGCAGGUGCGAAAGCAGGUCAUAGUGAUCCGGUGGUUCUGAAUGGAAGGGCCAUCGCUCAACGGAUAAAAGGUACUCCGGGGAUAACAGGCUGAUACCGCCCAAGAGUUCAUAUCGACGGCGGUGUUUGGCACCUCGAUGUCGGCUCAUCACAUCCUGGGGCUGAAGUAGGUCCCAAGGGUAUGGCUGUUCGCCAUUUAAAGUGGUACGCGAGCUGGGUUUAGAACGUCGUGAGACAGUUCGGUCCCUAUCUGCCGUGGGCGCUGGAGAAUUGAGGGGGGCUGCUCCUAGUACGAGAGGACCGGAGUGGACGCAUCACUGGUGUUCGGGUUGUCAUGCCAAUGGCACUGCCCGGUAGCUAAAUGCGGAAGAGAUAAGUGCUGAAAGCAUCUAAGCACGAAACUUGCCCCGAGAUGAGUUCUCCCUGACUCCUUGAGAGUCCUGAAGGAACGUUGAAGACGACGACGUUGAUAGGCCGGGUGUGUAAGCGCAGCGAUGCGUUGAGCUAACCGGUACUAAUGAACCGUGAGGCUUAACCUU
RNAcentral lists this ribosomal RNA (1687 nucleotides) under Escherichia coli. RNAcentral describes it as "bacterial LSU rRNA". It matches the Rfam family "Bacterial large subunit ribosomal RNA", at positions 1289 to 2925 of the family's 2925-position model. The record is from RNAcentral. Lineage: Bacteria; Pseudomonadati; Pseudomonadota; Gammaproteobacteria; Enterobacterales; Enterobacteriaceae.